UUAUAAGGGAAAACUCCUUUCACUUGACUCUUAUUCUCUUCUCUUGUUUGCUACCAUGUGAGACGUGCCUUUCACUUUUUACCAUGAUUAUGAGGCCUCCCCAGCUACGUGGAACUGGAACACCUUCGAAGGCAAUGAUCCUACAGGACCUUGAUCCACUACAGCCCUUCUAGCAUCCUAUCUGCACCUGGAUAGUAUAGAUACCCACUGGAAUCUUGUUUCUUUUUCAUUCAGGAAAGCAAAGAUCAAGGAUUCUGGAUCCAAUACCUCGCAGUCAUGCAGAGAUGCCCAUAAUGGUUAUUUAUGUUCUUGCAUGCCAUUGCUGAAAAGGAUAUAGACAUAGAAAGGAACUUUACUCUCAACUAAAUUAAAAUCCAAAGAAAGGAAGAGUUGACCCUUGAACAACAUGGAGACUGGGGAGCCAACCUCCAAUGCAGUUGAAAAUCCACGUAUAACUUUUGACUCCCUCAAAACUUUACUAAUAGCCUACCACUGACUGGAAGCCCUAUCCAUAACAUAAACAGGCAAAUCUUCAGAGGAGAUGCUGGCGUGCAGUGCAGUCUUUCCAAGUUUUUCAUGCUAUAACCUGCUGUCCGUCUUGCAAAUUAAGUAUGAUUAGGUUUGGUGAAGUUGCUCUCUGGGACAUUGUCCCCAUUCUGCCUGAAUUUUCCCUCCACCAUUCUAGUCCUCCUCCUCAUUGGCCUCACAUAGUCCCUCACAGGGGCAGUACAGCUUGGUGCAGAGAAUAUGGAUUUUGAAGGCCAGAUGCCUUGGGGUAUAAAUCAGGCACUGAUACUUACCGGCUGUGUGGCUUUGGGCAAGUUACUUUACCUCUCUGAGCAUAGAUCUUUUCUGUGUAAAGACAAUAAUUCCUCCCUCAAAGGGCAGUCAGUUCCAAGGCUUACAUGAGACAAUACAUGUCAAGUUUUAGGCACAUAAUUAAUAAUCCAUGUCAAUUGCCACUGACUUGCCUCACUGACAAUCCUGGGGCCCAGGACCAGGUUCCCUUCCCUCACCUGGCUUUAUCACAAUCAG
Molecule: long non-coding RNA, 1035 nt
Organism: Cercocebus atys (sooty mangabey)
Lineage: Eukaryota; Metazoa; Chordata; Mammalia; Primates; Cercopithecidae
Exons: 5
Source: RefSeq, a predicted model, not a curated record